This 492-nucleotide ribosomal RNA is filed under the name uncultured bacterium. RNAcentral's name for it is "partial 16S ribosomal RNA". It matches the Rfam family "Bacterial small subunit ribosomal RNA", at positions 30 to 507 of the family's 1533-position model. The record is from RNAcentral.
UUGAACGCUGGCGGCAUGCUUUACACAUGCAAGUCGAACGGCAACGAGGAGAAGCUUGCUUCUCUGUCGGCGAGUGGCGAACGGGUGAGUAUAGCAUCGGAACGUGCCAAGUAGUGGGGGAUAACCAAACGAAAGUUUGGCUAAUACCGCGUAAGCUCCAAGGAGGAAAGUAGGGGACCUAAAUAAGGCCUUACGCUAUUUGAUCGGCCGAUGUCGGAUUAGCUAGUUGGUGGGGUAAUGGCUCACCAAGGCAAUGAUCCGUAGCGGGUCUGAGAGGACGAUCCGCCACACUGGGACUGAGACACGGCCCAGACUCCUACGGGAGGCAGCAGUGGGGAAUUUUGGACAAUGGGGGAAACCCUGAUCCAGCCAUGCCGCGUGUAUGAAGAAGGCCUUAGGGUUGUAAAGUACUUUUGUUAGGGAAGAAAAGCUAGUUUUUAAUAAAAAUUAGUGAUGACGGUACCUAAAGAAUAAGCACCGGCUAACUACGUG